Molecule: microRNA precursor, 98 nt
Filed under: Marmota monax (woodchuck)
Lineage: Eukaryota; Metazoa; Chordata; Mammalia; Rodentia; Sciuridae
Rfam family: mir-140 microRNA precursor family (bases 11-89)
Source: RNAcentral
UCUUUCUCUCUGUGUCCUGCCAGUGGUUUUACCCUAUGGUAGGUUACGUCAUGCUGUUCUACCACAGGGUAGAACCACGGACAGGAUACUGGGGCACC